UUUUUUUUUUUUUUUUGGCCAGACUUGUGAUUUUUGAACACUUACCCAGAUCCUUAAAAGCAUUUAGGCUCCUAAUUUCCACUGGAAUUAAUAGAAGUUAGGAGCCUUUGAGAAAAUGAGCCUUAGUGUUGGCAAUACUGUGCUCCUGUGAAAACUAUGCCCAAAGAGUCUGAAGAUGCACAGGCCCCUUUUGAAAAUUUAGUCAUAGUGUUUUCUAAGUUUAUAAUGUUAAAAAAAAAAAAACACAGAAAAAGUUUGAUUUCAGCAAAAAUAGUACAAACAUUUUUUCCCCCUGUAGGCCAUUUUUAGCUGAAUGCUGCAUGUUAAAUGACAGCACCACAAUAAGGACUUGAUUAGGAUUUUUGGAGUCAAUACCCUUGCAUAUCUGAGAAGUUUUCCAAAAUUAAAUGUGUACUUAGUACAUGUUAUAGCUGUCAUCUUUAGAUAGUUCUGUUGGUGAAAGUACAAUUCCUCUCCUCCACCCCACCUUUUUCAGGACAGAGAACCUAGAAAUCCACAUGCAAGUAACAUAACUUUCUGGAGAUUUAGGUUCAAUAGAUUUCUGUUAUCAAGAUAAUUUUCUGAAGAAAUUAAGAUUUAUUUUUAAUUCAAUUUCAUUUCAGUUGCAAAAAUAACCUUCCAAAGGUGAACUGAUGAGAUACUAUUCUACUUUGUGGGCAGUCUGUCUCUCAGAGAGAGGCAAACUGCUCCCAUUCAUCUCAUCUGGUAUUAAAGACAAAUGGACACCAUUGAAAUAUUAACUGUCUUAGCAGCAGUCAUCUAGCAGGGCUAGAUAGUUCAUUCAUUUAAAAGGAUAUUUCCACAAGAAUAAGGGUGCAAGCUUGUGCUAUUGAAGAUUAGAACCACUAAUGUUAAGAUAAGUUAUUUAAAAUUUCCCAAUAAUCUGAUUCCUUCUGUAAAUUCUGUCAUUGUAAUCCGCUUUUACCAGUAACUAAUUCUGAAGCAUGCAAGAAAGAACUAAUUCUCAACCUAGUCUCGUGUGAUACACAGGAACUGGUUCAGAUGAUAACUAGAAAAACAGAUGGUCACUGUUGCUCAGGAUACAUUGUUUGGCUAUCAUGGAUUAAGAAUGGGAGUCAGCAAUGGACAACACCGUAACAUAUAAGAGUGGAGUUUUUUCUUCUGAAAGGCUGAUAAACUGUUAAAAAUAGGCUGAAAGGCAAGCUAAAAUACUGAAAUGAUCAGGUUAAGUCAUAUUGGUGCAAACCCCAGUCUGCACCAGUGCAGUUUAGUUACCUUAAGGAUUUAUACCAGUGUACUACUUGUGCAACUACAGUGUAGUUACACCAUUGAAAAUGUAUCUAAGACACACUUUACACCCUGAUCCUGAAAACAUUUUCAGACAUGCUUAACUUUACACACUUAAGAAGUCCCUCUGAAGUCAAUGGAAUAACUCUUGUGCAUAAAGUUAAGCACAUAUGUAAAUGCUUGCAGGAUUGGGCCAUAAUCCAUAGAAUCUAUCUGAAGGCUGUUCAAAAACACUGUUCGAGGCAGUGAUAGUAUGUGUGCUGAAGAGCAAAACCAAAGUAACAAGGAGUGAAUAAAAUGUGUCUAAAUAAUGAGGUAUGGAAUAUUAUAACUUGGAUACUAUACAUAUAUUCAGUAAGGUCAGAUCAAUAUAGCUUCUGUAAGGGUAAAUUUGUGCUGAUUUACUGUUAGAAUUCUCUGAAAGAGACGCGUAAAUAAAAUACUGGCUCUGUUGUUUGAAUUUUGAAACAGCUUUUGACAAGGUCUCCCAAGAAAGGGAGACCGUUUCUGGGGGAAAACACAGGAUAAAGGAGAAAAUCCUAUUGCAGUGUUGCCAACUCUCACAGUAUUUGAUGUUUUUUUUCUUAAAAUUCCAGUUUCUGGAGUCAGGUGAUAACGUAAGACUCUCAGCUUUCAUUUUUAAACAAAAGUAAAUUUCUAGCUAUCACGGUUAUGGAGAAAAGUUAUAAACCAUUAUCUUUAAAGGUUCAAAUAACAAAGGCAAAUAAAAAGAUCCCCAAAUUAUUAUAUGCUUGGCUUAAAUCUUGAGGUUUAAAAAAUAUCACGAUUUUGGGGGUCCUGACUCAUGAGUUUUGAACACCUGAGGUUAGCAAUAUUGAAUUGUGGAUAAAACUACGUCCUACUAAUCUGAGUAAAGUGAAAUUAAUAGAGGCUGGGAAGUUAAUGGUGGACCUAAAGAACAAUUUUAUAAUAAUAAUAAUAAUGCUAUUUAUAAAUUAAAAAUUCUGUACAGAGUAACUAAUUCUCAGAAUACCACUAUGAAUCAAAAAAAUACUUAGGCACCCAGAUUUAGGUGCCAAAAUCUGUUUUUUUAGGCAUCACUGCAAUCCAGAAAACUCCUGCCAAACCCUGUAGAUGCCCAAGUUUUCAGGGUAAAAGUUCCCCAGUGCCUAUGUUUCUGUCUGUGAGCAUGUGCACUGCCUCCUUACUGUAGUUGUCCAGAUGUCUAUCUCCCCCCCCCCAAACUCCAGAGCAAUUCACAAACUGGGGGAAGACAGACACAUGCUGGGCCAGAUCCAGUAGGAGUGUUCAGAGGCCACCUAUUGGUUUGGGUUUCAUUCACAAUCUGGUCACCAGAGGAGGAGGUGGUGGCGGCGGCAGUGCUACCCAUCUUAUAACUUUUAGCCCAAUGGCUAGAACAUUUCCUGGAAUGUUGAAGACCCAGGUUCAAUUCUCCCCUCUCUGCCAGAGGGGGAGAAAGACCGGGGGUCUCCUACCUCUUUGGAGAGAGCUCCAACCAAUGAGAUAUGGAAUAGUCUGAUAUGAGACUCCCUCAGUAUCUCCUGUUGAAGUGUUCCACUAUGAAUAAAUAAUGAAAGAGUGAUGUGAGGAGGGGGACUGGACUCUGGGUUUCCCACUUACCAAGUGGGUUCCUUAGCUACUGGACUACAGAGUCUCUCUCUCUGUGUGGCCCAAUGACUGUUCCACUGUGGAUAAAUACUUAAAUACUCAUUUGUGGAUCUGUGUCUAGACCUACCUCCCUAACUCCUCAUCUUAUGCUUAUUCCACAAAAGCAUUCUGCCUCCGCUGCGCUACAUGUUAUUUAAUAUGUUUGUUAAUGAUUUGUUAGGGGAAGGAGCGGUGAAAUUUGCUGAUGACACAAAACUAUUUAAAUUAGUAAAAAAAAAGAGGAUUAUAGGAAAAACUUCCAGAAAAAUCUAACCAAACGCAGGAUAGUACAAUAGCAGCUGAAUUUUAAUUUUGAUAAAUGCAGGGUAAUGCAUGUUGAAAUGAAUAAUCUGUAUUUCUCCUAAUAAUAUCCCCAUGACUGUGCUCAAUUGGUCUGCAAAGAGCACUGCCAUUCAUAAGAAUUCUGUGCAAGCAGUAAGGCAGUAGGAAUUAAUAUUGGAUCAAAAUCUAUUUAAGUAUUCAAUCAGGUAGUUAUGGAGAUCUUGGGAAUUUAAAAAUUCUGAGAGCCGGGUAAGUUGUUUGUUAGUAUUCCCAAAGCAUGUAGAAUUUGAACUCUUAAGUCUAAGGGUUAUAUCCUCAGCUGAUGUAAAUUGUCAUAGCUGCUGGAGCUGUGAGGAUCUGCCCCCAGGCCUUUAAUAUGUUCUCUAUUCAAAACAUUUCCAAAUGGACUCUUUGAAAUAAAAAUUUUAAAAGUGAUAGUUCACAAGACUAGAUCAUUCAAGAGCAUAAACAAAUCUGAUCAAUGGUUUUUCAAAGCCUACUCAUUCAUCAGAUUAUUUUUGUAAAAUCUUUGGUUCAGCUGGAGAAUUUUUGUCAUUGGAGGUGAUUCAUUUUUGUCUAUUAUCUGAACAACGUCAUAGAGAGGCAAUAGCAAUGGAGGUUGCACUAUGAAGUUUGAGAGGAAGAAGAGUCUUUCUUAUGAUUAAUGAACUGGACUUAGGUGAUCUUGAUUCAGUUCCUGCCUCUGCUACAGACUUUGGGCUAGUCAUUUAGCUGGCAGUUCCUCAGUUCUCCAUCUGUAACAUGGCAAUAGCAAUAUUUCCUUUGUCUAUCUGUUUAGGCCCUGAUCUUGCAAACACUUAGUUGCAUACUUCACUUGAAGCAUUUGAGUCAAAUUAAACAUAUAGUUACCAUUUAUUGGAUUGGGGCUUAGACUGCAAGCUUGUCAGGGCAGGAACUACCUCAUACUCUGUUUGUACAGUACCCAGCACAAUGGAGCCCAAGCUUGUUUGGAGGCUCCAGGCACUACUGAAAUACAAAUAAAUAAUUACAAUAAGGCUGAUUCAGAACACAGUUUUCCUCCCUCUCCCUCGUUGGAAGUGAAAUAUAAAAACCCCUCAUGCUUUUGCAUUUUUAAAGUUCUCAUUGGCAACUAUUAUCUGUUCUUGGAAAAAACAAACUUAGUACUUUAUGGCCCUGAUUCAGCAAAGAAAGUAAGCAACUGCUUAACUUUCAUCCACUGAACACAGUGGGAAAAUUCAUGUGUUUAAGUGCAGUGCUGAAUCAUGGCCUUUGAGAUUAAAAAACUUAAAUUGGCUUGUUUGGAAAAUAUUUGCAAACUAAGCCUAACCCAGUCCUGCAAACACUAAGGCACAUACUUAACUUUACUACCGUGAAGCAGGCCCACUGAAGUUAGGGAUCAGGGCUUAAUGUUUUUGUGUCUCCCUCUGUUGGCCCAACCAAAUCACUUACCCUUACAAAACUUGAGGUGCUGGCAGUGGCUGGAGGGGGGAGAGGGAUAGCUCAGUGGUUUGAGCUUUGGCCCCCUAAACCUAGGGUUGUGAGUUCAAUCCUUGAGGGGGCCACUUAGAGAUCUGGGGCAAAAUCAGUACUUGGUCCUGCUAGUGAAGGCAGGGGGCUGGACUCAAUGACCUUUCAAGGUCAUUUCUCCAAUUCUAGGAGAAGGGAUAUCUCCAUUAAUUUAUUUUUAUUUGGAUUGUGACAUUGUCUCUUGACUGCUCCAGUUUUCAUGUUCAGGGAUAGUAAAAAUAUAUCCAGUUCUCCAUCAGUGAAUCCAAUGGAGAAAAGAAAAUCAUCUGAAAGUAUUAAAGUGGGAUAGGGGAUUUCAGUGGGACCUAGCCAUUGUGUUACAGUAAGUUACUUAGUGGCUUUGUUGCCAGCCUAUUCAGUUGAAACGUUAUAGAAUAGUAUCUUGCAACAUUUACUAUUGCACUGGGGAGGGGAGAGGGAAUCAAUAAACCUUGGGGGGAAAAGUCUGGUAAACUUGCCUUAAGAGGGAAAAUCAUCUAUAAACCCUUUGGGUGGAGGGCGGGGGGGGGGUCUGGUAAACUUGGUUUAAGAAGCCCUUUUACAAUUGGAGGGAUGGACUCAAAAUAUCAUAUUCACUUUCCCUUUCAUUUAUCUUAUUGCCUCAAUGUCUGUGUGUCUCUUUUACAAGACCAAGCUUAUUUUGGUUUAGGACAAAUAAUGGAGAAUAGAAACAGCCUGUUAAUAGUCUGGAGUGGCUUCAGUUAAUUCCCUCAUACUGUAGCCAUCUCAGGGCUAACGUGUACCAUACAUUUUAUUCCAGACAACAGAAUGAAGGUAACUUAUGUACUGAUGAAAGGAAAAUAUGAGAAGUUCUUUCAUUUCAGAACUGUCAUUAGGAAUUCUAUUUUCAGUAGCCCACGAUGUUUGAUCUCUGAAUCGGUUACAUUAUUCCAUGAAAGUAAAACUUUAUUGCAGAUGCCCUGUCCAGAGGCCCAGUCCUUUGGGAGGCAGCCCUGCAGUUGGAUGUGUGGUUUAACAAACAGUUAAAUCUGUUUGAAUCAGUAACCACCAUAUGAACACAAAAGGAAGACAAAAUUGUUUGUCUACAGUCAUCCAGCUUCAAAUCCCUGGAGAAGGGAUGAGCUAUAUCUAGACUGGAAAAUUAAAUUUGCUUACUCAGUUGCCACUGAUUCAGAUAACCAUCCAAUUUAAUCAGGAGUCAAUUGAAGCAGCCUGUUGAUUAUUCCUCUAUAAUCAUUUCAAUCAUGGCUUCAGUCUCCACAUCCUAAAUUGGUAGAUUUCCCAGCAGUUCCAAGGAAGAUAUUCUAUUAAUAAACAUACAGGUUACAAAGACUCAAAUCUCUUCAGUGACCUCACCAAUUCCCCCCUAACAUCUUGUCUAAGGAAAUCCCUAAUGACAGAGGCUUAUCAGAAAACAUUAAUGAGAUAACUAUUGUGUAAUAUUAACAUACAUAUGAGAGAAGUCCUGGUGAAGUGUGUGUGUGUGUGUGUGUAUAGAGAGAGAGUUUGUGCCCAGAAUGAAUAUUCAAAUCUGACUUCAAAUUCUUCCCACAUCUCACUUCAGAUUCUUCCAGCAUUAGUUCUGAACUGGUUUUUUAUCCAUAUUUAACUAAGGCUUGGGAUUUCAACUUUGAAAAUGUAUUUUUGCAUUAAACUGGUUUUCCAGAGAUAAAAUUGUGUCAUGAAUACUCUUGUUUUCAGGACAGCUAAUUUUAACAGAUCUGUCAUUCCUAUGUAGAUGGCGUGUUGGGAUAUUAAUAUCCUCUUAAAUUAUUUUAAAACUAUUAAUGCUUCAUGUCCUAUGGGAAUGUUAUCUGCAAAGCUAGCAUCUUUGUAUCUUUGCUAAGAUUCUAGGAUUUCAGUUUUAUCAGUCUGUGAGGAUUUCCAAGUAUUGGAUGUAAAGAUUCCAUCAGGUUAUGAGUUUCUGCUAUAUUCCAGUGUAAACCCUGUAUCACAGAUCUUUCCAGGUUAUACUGUUUGAUUAGAGAUUAUUUAAAUAUAUGUGUAUUCCUUCCUGUUUUGAAGCUUAUACAGACAGUUUAUUAGAACAUUUUCUUAUUUUUAAACUAGUUUUCUUCUCUAUUAAACAAAAUUGAAUAGCUGUAAUACAUAAAGGCACAGAUUGGUUUUGUUCUUGAAGAAGCGGGUAUUGAACUUAAAAAGUGUUCAGUAUGCCUUAAGCGGCAUAGCAGAAACUGUUACAGUUUCCAAAGGGACUGAGAGGGAUUUAAUCUGAAUUUCUGCCGGAUGUUCAGGAGACAAAACCUCAUAAAUUUUACUGGAGCCCUUCAGACAAUGGCAGAAAUCUCUCAUCCUUUAGGGCUGCCAAGUAUUAUGAAGUGUUCCAUCCAUCUUUAACUAGUGACUCACAUUAACAAUGAUAUAUGAGAAAUAGAGAUACAGUACUUUGAAUUUAUGAAUAUCCUAUUUCUCUGAUUCAUGGCAAUGAUUGUGUUUCCCAUAAUGAUGUGGUGAUUCUAAAUCUUCUGUUAUUUGUGCCAUGUAUGUGGCAAUAGGGCAAGGAAUCUCUUCAUUUUGGGUGAAAUCCUGACCCUCUUGAAGUCCAAUGGGAUUUCUCCUUGUGUCUUGCACAUAACUGAGCACACUGUUUGUGCUGAACAAAUACAUAAUAAAAAGGGGAAUUAUCACAUUAUCCUUUGUUUCCCAAAAACAGUGUGCAAAAGAUUCCAAGCACUUUGGGGAAAAUUAAACUAAGAACAGAAUUCGACUGAAAUUUAACAAAAAUAGCUUUUGCACAAAUCUUAAUUUCACUACAAUUUUAUGCAUAUUUGGAUUAUUUUAGUGGUGUUAAAUUGCAGUGUUAUGCAUCUGUGUUUUGGGAGAUAUUUAUUUAAACUUUCCCAUGUAUGUAGCAUAUUAAAAACCUUAUUUGUUUAA
Trachemys scripta elegans is the source of this 7548-nucleotide long non-coding RNA. RefSeq lists it as uncharacterized. NCBI's taxonomy places the organism in Eukaryota, Metazoa, Chordata, Testudines, Emydidae. The transcript is spliced from 2 exons. The record is from RefSeq and is a predicted model, not a curated record.